GCAGUCAUGGCGGAAUUGGCAGACGCGCACGGUUCAGGUCCGUGUGCUCGCAAGGGCGUGGAAGUUCGAGUCUUCUUGGCUGCACCA
This 87-nucleotide transfer RNA is filed under the name Peptostreptococcaceae bacterium. Its description in RNAcentral is "tRNA-Leu". It matches the Rfam family "tRNA". Rfam says of the family: Transfer RNA (tRNA) molecules are approximately 80 nucleotides in length. Their secondary structure includes four short double-helical elements and three loops (D, anti-codon, and T loops). Lineage: Bacteria; Bacillati; Bacillota; Clostridia; Peptostreptococcales; Peptostreptococcaceae. The record is from RNAcentral.